This 449-nucleotide ribosomal RNA is filed under the name uncultured bacterium. RNAcentral describes it as "partial 16S ribosomal RNA". It matches the Rfam family "Bacterial small subunit ribosomal RNA", at positions 29 to 523 of the family's 1533-position model. The record is from RNAcentral.
AACGAACGCUGGCGGCAUGCCUAACACAUGCAAGUCGAACGAGAUCUUCGGGUCUGGUAGCGCACGGGUGCGUAACGCGUGGGAAUCUGCCCUUUGGUUCGGAAUAACAGUUGGGAACGACUGCUAAUACCGGAUGAUGACGAAAGUCCAAAGAUUUAUCGCCAGAGGAUGAGCCCGCGUAGGAUUAGCUAGUUGGUGUGGUAAAGGCGCACCAAGGCGACGAUCCUUAGCUGGUCUGAGAGGAUGAUCAGCCACACUGGGACUGAGACACGGCCCAGACUCCUACGGGAGGCAGCAGUGGGGAAUAUUGGACAAUGGGCGAAAGCCUGAUCCAGCAAUGCCGCGUGAGUGAUGAAGGCCUUAGGGUUGUAAAGCUCUUUUACCCGGGAUGAUAAUGACAGUACCGGGAGAAUAAGCUCCGGCUAACUCCGUGCCAGCCGCCGCCGUAA